Molecule: ribosomal RNA, 330 nt
Filed under: uncultured bacterium
Lineage: Bacteria
Description: bacterial SSU rRNA
Rfam family: Bacterial small subunit ribosomal RNA
Source: RNAcentral
CGCGUAGGUGGUAGUGUAAGUCUGAGGUGGAAUCCUAUGGCUUAACCAUAGAACUGCCUUGGAUACUGUAUUACUUGAGUCAGUGAGGGGAGGGUAGAAUUCCUGGUGUAGCGGUGAAAUGCGUAGAUAUCAGGAGGAAGGCCUGUGGCGAAGGCGGCCCUCUGGUGCUGGACUGACACUGAGGCGCGAAAGCGUGGGGAGCAAACAGGAUUAGAUACCCUGGUAGUCCACGCCCUAAACGGUGGGCACUAGGUGUAGGGCUCGCAAGGGUUCUGUGCCGAAGGGAAACCAUUAAGUGCCCCGCCUGGGGAGUACGGCCGCAAGGUUGAA